UUAAAUGGCCGCGGUAUUUUGACCGUGCAAAGGUAGCAUAAUCAUUAGUUUUUUAAUUGAAAGCUGGAAUGAAAGGUUGAAUGAGAAAAUAACUGUCUUUAUAAUAUUUUAUUAGAAUUUUAUUUUUAAGUUAGAAAGCUUAAAUCUUAUUUAAAGACGAGAAGACCCUUUAGAGUUUUAUAUUAAUUAAAUUUUUAAUUUUUUAGAAUUAACUAUGAAAAAAUUUAGUUUUAUUUAGUUGGGGCGAUUAAAAAAUUUAAUAAACUUUUUUUUUUACUUAACAUUUAUAUAUGAUUAUAUGAUCCAUAUAUUAUGAUUAUAAGAAUAAAUUACCUAAGGGAUAACAGCGUUAUUUUUUUUGAGAGUUCUUAUCGAAAAAAAAGAUUGCGACCUCGAUGUUGGAUUAAAAUUAAAUUAUGGUGAAGAGGCUAUAACUUUAGGUCUGUUCGACCUUUAAAAUUUUACAUGAUCUGAGUUUAAACCGGUGUAAGCCAGGUUGGUUUCUAUCUUAAAUUUAUUAUAAUAUUUUAGUACGAAAGGACCAAAUAUUAUAUUUAUAAUAUAAAUUUUGAAUAAAAU
Molecule: ribosomal RNA, 579 nt
Filed under: Anthystrix longiclava
Lineage: Eukaryota; Metazoa; Arthropoda; Insecta; Coleoptera; Nitidulidae
Description: partial large subunit ribosomal RNA
Rfam family: Bacterial large subunit ribosomal RNA
Source: RNAcentral